This is a long non-coding RNA of Dermacentor silvarum, 1522 nucleotides long. RefSeq lists it as uncharacterized. The transcript has 9 exons. The record is from RefSeq and is a predicted model, not a curated record. Lineage: Eukaryota; Metazoa; Arthropoda; Arachnida; Ixodida; Ixodidae.
CUAGUGUGGUUUCGCGCGCUUCCUCAAAGAAGGUUUUUGAAGUCGGGCUAGCGUAGCCGGUCUGCGUUUCAAUCGAAGGCAAGUGUUGUUGUUUGCCAACUGGUCUGGCCUGUGAACAUAACGUGUGAUGACCGUGUUUUUCAUCUUCUUUAGAGCUUGCUCUUGGCGGGAAGCGCACGCCAUGGAAAGCGAAUACGAAACGUAAAUAGCGGAGCGCAUGGCUUCAGAACAACUGCCUCACCCAGCUCUAGCUGGCUUCACGCUAAUGACGUGAGCACGAGGAUUCAUUACCCAUCUCUAUGUCGGAGCGGUCCAGCACGAGCGUGCCCCAUUAUUCGAGCAACGACGGUCGAUCGCUGGCUUGCAAGCGAUUUGUGGUCCAUGGCGCGGCUGCAGCAUUGGACGAAUCACUGACAGGGGGGUGAUUGGAUGGAAGGCUGAGCAACAUACCCAGAGAUGUAGCGCUGCUGCUUACAUCGUGCUUACGCUUGAACACGGGGAAUGACGCAGUGCUGGAGUGGAGUUUGAAAAUAAUGCAAGCAGAGACCAGUCUCGGUGACAAGGGUGCUGCAUCGGUCAUGUCUUGUACCCCAAGUGGUAUCCUACUACAAAGAUGAUCUCAGCCAACUCAUACAAGUGCAUGAGGCAUCAACAGAGAUGACCAGCAAUUUUCUUGACGCCCUGCCCGUUUGCCCAGUCAUAGUUGCAUUCGGUCAGUCUAUCUUUCAAUGCACCUGCCAUCUGUUUGUGGAUAGGGAGCUUAUAAUACCGAACAUCGGCUCGAAGCUGGCUAUUGAGUACCUGUUUGCUGUCCACUACACUGCUUGAGCAUCAAAUAUGCUGCACGUGUAGGGGCGACCCUUGAAUUUUUUCACAGGUUUGCGCUAUCGGCCUGCCUAAACUACUCUUCAGCACCUACUCACGACCCUACACAUGCAAGUGACCGGCCUAAUCGCCAGCAGCAGGCGUCAUCGGGCUCCCGGCGUGAUUCUGACAGCUCACUGCUGCCUUCGGAUCUGUGCCUGCGCCUGGUCGCCAGCAGCUUGGCUAUAUAAACGUCCUACGGACCACUCAACUUCGUUCAGCAGCAGCAGUGGCGGUGUAGCAGUGUGUGCAUGCUUGACUCUUCCAUCUCGGCUUCACAGGAUCUGGCUGGAAUGGGCACCCGAGGCAACUUGCUGAACGUGAUCCAAAGUUAUCUCUCGAACCGCACAUUCCGUGUUCGAGUUGGUAACGUCUUAUCUCGUCCAUUUACCCAAGAGACUGGUGUACCACAAGGAGAUACCUCGUUGGCAUAUGCGAAGAGGGCACACGCCAGCAAAUGAAGAGAAGCAAAGGAGCCCGCUCAAAAACUCUGGCGGCUUGCGCACAGAUUGCGAUCUUCAAGAAGAAAUGGAGCUCUGCGAGUCUUUUUUAUUACUGUUUGGUUGAUUUCAGGUACUGACUUACAUUUCCUGCUUUUCAUUUUCAGCUUCUCUGAUGGCCUAAGACAGGCUAGCCUGUACAUGUUCUUCAAAUACAG